Molecule: long non-coding RNA, 570 nt
Filed under: Gallus gallus (chicken)
Lineage: Eukaryota; Metazoa; Chordata; Aves; Galliformes; Phasianidae
Description: long non-coding RNA NONGGAT005505
Source: RNAcentral
GCACUCCUCGGGCUCAUUGCUCUCUUCAGCCUCUUCGGCCACCUCCUCCUCCUCGGGCAGCGGUGGUUUGUAGUCCACAAGAAGGAGGAGCAAAUUUCCAGACCCGCCCAUCCAAAUGGGAGCAAUCAGGAGAUCUUGGAUGGGGUUCUCAUAGGGAGGAAUGAAUGCAGGAUGGUGUCAGCUUGCAUGGAAGGAGAUCAUCCUGCCCUGAGGCAGGAAUCUCAUGCAAUGGCUGCCAGCCCAUCCCAUCCUUCUGGGAAGAUGCUCCUCCACCCUGUUGGCCAUAACUGAUGGAAUUUCUCCACUCAAUCCAGCACAGAUGAUGGGAUGAGAAAGGAACUGAGGGCCUUAGGACUGCAUGGACCAGGCUGGACAUGUCCUCCCAUAGUGGCUAUGUGGGCAUUAGCAUCACAUCCCUGCUCUCCCUUCCUGAAUAUAUGCAAUCCCACAGCCCUACAUUUCUCCAUAUUCUUGAUGCAACCCCAUGGCUAGCAGCAACAUCCCAUCCCAUCACCAUCCUCCUUAGAGUGCCUGCUAUUGUUUUUCUGCAUUUCUCAUCUCCUCUCCCUC